ACAAAUUUUAAAAGAGCAUUUAUUCUAUUCAUUCAGAAAAGCUUUUUGUACCAACAGCAACCCCAAAGAUAUCUCCAGUUCACUUCCCUGCAAUUCUGGAUAUAAAAGACAUAAUUGAGAAGAAUUAGGCUAGUCGUGUCAACGAAUUUCUCAUAGGAGGUAUCAAAACCUUCAGGGAAAGGAACAAAAAAUCCAUCAUUGGGUGCACAUACGCUCUGGUCAUCAUAUACUUCCGCAGUAAAAGGUAGGGGAUUGAGCCAGUACCUAAUGCCCCUCAAGGACCAUGGAUGUUGUAUUGGAAUAGGGACAAAUUAGUACAGAGAAUUGAGGAUGAAUACAAAAAAUAUAAGGGCCUCAUAAAACAAGACAAAACAAUGAGAAAAAGAGCUCGCAUGGAGGCCAAAAAGACUGAGAAAACAAUAGAACCUCCUACUUCCACAUCUGAUUCAGAAAAAAAAAAAAAAAAAAACAAACCUGAAUUAGAUUCUGAGUAAGAUUCACACUAUUUUCCAAUAAAUUCUUUUCUAUUAUAAAAUUAAAUCUCUUUCUUAUUAAAGAUUUUUAAAUGUAUUCUUAGAAUUGAACAACAAAAGUGAAAAACAAAAAAAAAGGUAGAGAACAAAGUCUAAAGAAGCUCAAACAACAAAGAAAGUAAGUAUAUGUACUAUAAAACUUUUAAUUCUGUGUUGUUCCCUAUUGAUAUUAUUCUAUGUUUUUUUUUUGUGCUUUCUUCAAUAAAUUUUUAACUAUUAUACUACAAAAUUAACAAAGCCUAAAGAGGCUCAAACAAAAAAAUUCAACAAAAGAAGAAAACAAAUGUGGGUAAAAAACAAAGAAGCAUGGGGCUUCAAAUGAGUAAAUUUGUUUUGUUUUAAACUCCCAUGAGAAUUUGUAUGUUGUUUCUAUAGUUUUUUUAUUUUCUUAGCUAAUUUUUCUGGUGAUUUAGAUCCACAAGCAAUUAUGAACCCUCUAACUCCACACAAACAAGCACACACAGCGGAGAACAUGAUCUUGCCGGUACUCCAACCCCUAAGCUUAAUAUACUAACUUUCAUUUAUUCUUUGUGUAAAAUCUGAUUUAAUAUUAUCAUAUAUCUUUAGUUCUUAUUCAAAUUUGUUUUAAGUUUUAUUAGAAAGAUUUUUAUAAGAAAAAGGAAUAGACGAGGAAAAGAAUAUAAAAAAACAACAUUGCAAAAAGAAGAUCAACAAUCUGCAAAGAAAGCAAAAGAAAUAACUCAGGAUCAAUCCCACUACUAAGAUGUAAGUUAAUUAUUUUAACUAAAUAAAUUAUAUAAUCCAUUGAGAACUACUCCAUUUAUGUUUAGUCAAUUUAUUUGUUUGCACAUUGAGAGAUAAGGAUAAUGCUUCUCGUGAUCAAAGCCAUUCAUUUGACUCUCUCGAUGAAAUACUCGAGAAAAACAAAGAUCCCAUGGACAAAGAUCUUAUUGAUGUUUCAAAAAUCUUAACUGAACAAUUUGUUCCAGUUCUCAUAUUGGAACAUUUACCAACUACUCCCUACAUUUUUCAAGAUCUUGGUGAUACAUCUUCCAAUCGCACAAGAAUGUUUGACUCUACCACACUAUGAUUCUUGGAAGCUCCCUAGACAAACAAACAGAGAAAUGUGUUGAUGGGCUAGUAAAAGACUAGACAGAUGCUGUUGAAAGUAAAAGAGAAAAAGUUAUCAAUGUUCUCAACAUCCAUCCCUUUCACAUGUAAUAUCUGGCAUUAAGGAAGAAAAGGA
Arachis ipaensis is the source of this 1740-nucleotide non-coding RNA. The record is from RefSeq and is a predicted model, not a curated record. Lineage: Eukaryota; Viridiplantae; Streptophyta; Magnoliopsida; Fabales; Fabaceae.